AGCUCCGGGGUGUUAUCAUGUGAGAUUGCAAAUCUUAAGAAGCAAACUAGUCGUUUGCCGGGGCUU
This 66-nucleotide transfer RNA is filed under the name Oedalechilus labiosus (hornlip mullet). RNAcentral describes it as "tRNA-Cys". The record is from RNAcentral. Lineage: Eukaryota; Metazoa; Chordata; Actinopteri; Mugiliformes; Mugilidae.